AAAAAUUUAAUGGUCGAACAGACCAAAAUCUUAAACUUCUGCACCUAAGAUAAUUUUUAAUCCAACAUCGAGGUCGCAAACUUUUUUAUCGAUAUGAACUCUCUAAAAAAAUUACG
This 116-nucleotide ribosomal RNA is filed under the name Dytiscidae sp. CH-2014. RNAcentral's name for it is "partial 16S ribosomal RNA". Lineage: Eukaryota; Metazoa; Arthropoda; Insecta; Coleoptera; Dytiscidae. The record is from RNAcentral.